CUAGCCUUCGUGGACUCCCCUGACUCCAUCUUUGAACUUCUCUCUAAACCGCGUCGUCGAGGUCUGCAAUGUUGACACCCUCGGUUGUGACGCCGUCAAGGAUCUUCAGCGCCUCACCGAGAUUGCCAUCACGACCCUCAAACAAAUCUCCGUCGAUGAUGGCUAGGUCCACCGUUCCAAGAGGGUGCUCUCCGCCCUCGUCACAGCCAUGUUGCUUGACGACAACAACAAUGCCGCCAAGGGAACCGUACACACCUACUCCUUCAGCCACCACGCUGAAAACACCAACACCACCACCACCACUAGAUCUACAUGAUGAGCAUCGGAUCUAAAGAAGUCGAAGGUGUAGCUCUCCCUCAAAUGCGAAAGCCAUUUGCUUUUCGUGCUGGGGGGAAUGAUAUAGAAAACAGGUAUAUGUUAUGAACAGAGAAGCUUCAAUCAGGGACAACAGAGACAUAGCAGCAAACACGGAAGGUGAACUUACAGAAACUGGGGUGCAGAAGGAACCAAUAGUCAAAAGAAAGGUCAAAAAGCCCACCUAUUUGAAAGAUUUCAUCUGAAGGUAUCCAAUGGAAAUUGCCAGCUCACAAGAUCCUCCACAAUCCUCCUGCGGAUGCUGCGUAUCUGAGAGAAAAAGCAUCCAUAACAGAAAUUAGUUAGAUUCCUAGGAUUAUACCAAUUCUAGAAGAAACUAUUCCUUCCUAGGAUCUAUAAAUACUAUGUAAAUAACAGAAGGAUAAAUAAGAAAAAGCUGGAAUUUCUCCUUA
Long non-coding RNA from Glycine soja, 767 nucleotides. RefSeq lists it as uncharacterized. The transcript is spliced from 2 exons. The record is from RefSeq and is a predicted model, not a curated record. NCBI's taxonomy places the organism in Eukaryota, Viridiplantae, Streptophyta, Magnoliopsida, Fabales, Fabaceae.